AGUGAACGCUGGCGGUAGGCCUAACACAUGCAAGUCGAACGGCAGCACAGUAAGAGCUUGCUCUUACGGGUGGCGAGUGGCGGACGGGUGCGGAAUACAUCGGAAUCUACUUUUUCGUGGGGGAUAACGUAGGGAAACUUACGCUAAUACCGCAUACGACCUACGGGUGAAAGCAGGGGAUCUUCGGCCCUUGCGCGAUUGAAUGAGCCGAUGUCGGAUUAGCUAGUUGGCGGGGUAAAGGCCCACCAAGGCGACGAUCCGUAGCUGGUCUGAGAGGAUGAUCAGCCACACUGGAACUGAGACACGGUCCAGACUCCUACGGGAGGCAGCAGUGGGGAAUAUUGGACAAUGGGCGCAAGCCUGAUCCAGCCAUACCGCGUGGGUGAAGAAGGCCUUCGGGUUGUAAAGCCCUUUUGUUGGGAAAGAAAAGCAGCAGGUUAAUACCCCGCUGUUCUGACGGUACCCAAAGAAUAAGCACCGGCUAACUUCGUG
RNAcentral lists this ribosomal RNA (492 nucleotides) under uncultured bacterium. RNAcentral's name for it is "partial 16S ribosomal RNA". It matches the Rfam family "Bacterial small subunit ribosomal RNA", at positions 29 to 507 of the family's 1533-position model. The record is from RNAcentral.